CUCCUGGAAACGGGUGGUAAUGCCGGAUGCUCCAGUUGGAUGCAUGUCCUUCUGGGAAAGAUUCAUCGGUAUGGGAUGGGGUCGCGUCCUAUCAGCUUGAUGGCGGGGUAACGGCCCACCAUGGCUUCGACGGGUAGCCGGCCUGAGAGGGCGACCGGCCACAUUGGGACUGAGAUACGGCCCAGACUCCUACGGGAGGCAGCAGUGGGGAAUAUUGCACAAUGGGCGCAAGCCUGAUGCAGCGACGCCGCGUGCGGGAUGACGGCCUUCGGGUUGUAAACCGCUUUUGACUGGGAGCAAGCCCUUCGGGGUGAGUGUACCUUUCGAAUAAGCACCGGCUAACUACGUGCCAGCAGCCGCGGUAAUACGUAGGGUGCAAGCGUUAUCCGGAAUUAUUGGGCGUAAAGGGCUCGUAGGCGGUUCGUCGCGUCCGGUGUGAAAGUCCAUCGCUUAACGGUGGAUCCGCGCCGGGUACGGGCGGGCUUGAGUGCGGUAGGGGAGACUGGAAUUCCCGGUGUAACGGUGGAAUGUGUAGAUAUCGGGAAGAACACC
This 552-nucleotide ribosomal RNA is filed under the name uncultured bacterium. Its description in RNAcentral is "bacterial SSU rRNA". It matches the Rfam family "Bacterial small subunit ribosomal RNA", at positions 147 to 710 of the family's 1533-position model. The record is from RNAcentral.